GUGGAUUAGAUACCCGGGUAGUCCACGCCGUAAACUAUGCAUACAAGCUGUAGUGGGAUUUUACUCCUGCUGUGGCGAAGCUAACGCAAUUAGUAUGCCGCCUGGGGAGUACGGUCGCAAGACUAAAACUCAAAGGAAUUGACGGGGGCCCGCACAAGCGGUGGAUUAUGUGGUUUAAUUCGAAGCAACGCGCAGAACCUUACCUAGGCUUGACAUCCCAUGACAAACGUAGAAAUACGUCUUUGUAGCAAUACACAUGGAGACAGGUGCUGCACGGCUGUCGUCAACU
Molecule: ribosomal RNA, 289 nt
Filed under: uncultured bacterium
Lineage: Bacteria
Description: partial 16S ribosomal RNA
Rfam family: Bacterial small subunit ribosomal RNA
Source: RNAcentral